AGUAACGGCGAGUGAAGUGGCAACAGCUCAAAUUUGAAAUCUGGCCCCCUCGGGGCCCGAGUUGUAAUUUGGAGAAGAUGCUUCGGGUGUGGCCCCGGUCUAAGUUCCUUGGAACAGGACGUCA
This 124-nucleotide ribosomal RNA is filed under the name Oidiodendron sp. Its description in RNAcentral is "partial large subunit ribosomal RNA". It matches the Rfam family "Eukaryotic large subunit ribosomal RNA", at positions 82 to 205 of the family's 3401-position model. The record is from RNAcentral. Lineage: Eukaryota; Fungi; Ascomycota; Leotiomycetes; Myxotrichaceae.